RNAcentral lists this small RNA (158 nucleotides) under Gopherus agassizii (Agassiz's desert tortoise). RNAcentral's name for it is "TUC338 (ENSGAGG00000009475.1)". Lineage: Eukaryota; Metazoa; Chordata; Testudines; Testudinidae. The record is from RNAcentral.
CUUAAGGUUGCAGACCCGUCUUAUACUCACAAAACAGAUGUAGAAAGGGCAGACUCAGGGGCAAUGCUCCAUCAAUGAAACUUAAUCAUGACUUGGAGGGGCCUCUUCUAGCAGUAAGAGGCUAUUCACUCUCCAUGCCCCUUCAAUCCUUGGCCUCU